This 93-nucleotide small nucleolar RNA is filed under the name Microcebus murinus (gray mouse lemur). RNAcentral's name for it is "Small nucleolar RNA SNORA40 (ENSMICG00000022001.3)". It matches the Rfam family "Small nucleolar RNA SNORA40", at positions 36 to 128 of the family's 128-position model. Rfam says of the family: The snoRNA ACA 40 belongs to the H/ACA family of snoRNAs and guides the pseudouridylation of 28S rRNA subunit at position U4565. NB This family has a high threshold value to exclude a large number of closely related sequences that do not appear to have conserved H and ACA boxes, and may be pseudogenes. The record is from RNAcentral. Lineage: Eukaryota; Metazoa; Chordata; Mammalia; Primates; Cheirogaleidae.
UGGACUUACAGACAGGUGCAAAAAAUAAAUCCUCUUUUGCAACCCAGAACUCAUUGUUCAGUAUGAGUUUUGAUACAUAUAAGAAGGAAUAUU